UCCCCUAGUAACGGCGAGUGAAGCGGGAAAAGCUCAGGCUAAAACCUUCGGGGAUGUAGUCUGCAGAGGGAAUAGUCGAGGAUGGAACCUGCUUUCAAGUUGCCUUUUGAAUGGCACGCCACUGAGGGUGAUAGCCCCGUUCGGAUUGCAGGGAACGUCCAGUACUAUCCUUCGAAGAGUCGAGUUGUUUGGGAUUGCAGCUCUAAUGGGUGGUAAAUUCCAUCUAAAGCUAAAUAUUGACGGGAGACCAAUAGCGAACAAGUACCGUGAGGGAAAGAUGAAAAGCACUUUGAAAAGAGAGUGAAAUAGUACCUGAAAUUGCUGAAAAGGAACCGAUGGGAAGCAGUGGGGCGUUGUGGCACUCGUGCCAUGGAGCCGGUUCAGCUCCCUUGUUGGACAUGGGAGAAGGGAGGAGUUCCGAUUCGGGCUYCUUUUCCUGUCAUGUCUACGAGGCGACUUGAACAAAAUGCUUCUCAUCAUCCCGUCUUGAAACACGGACCAAGGAGUCUAACAUGUGCGCGAGUGCUCGGGGUUUGACCUCCCAGCGCGAAAUGAAAGUAAAGGUAGCUGAUUUUGGCUACUGAGGUAACAAGGUGCGGUAACACGUACCUGCCUUAUCGACCGACCAUGAUCCUUCGGGUGAAAGGCUUGAGUUUGAGCGCAAAUGUUGGGACCCGAAAGAUGGUGAACUAUGCUUGAGUAGGACGAAGCCAGGGGAAACUCUGGUGGAGGUCCGUAGCGAUUCUAACGUGCAAAUUGAUCGUCGAACUUGAGUAUAGGGGCGAAAGACUAAUCGAACCAUCUAGUAGCUGGUUCCUCCCGAAAUUUCCCUUAGGAUAGCUGCAACCGAACAGUUGUAUCAGGUAAAGCGAAUGAUUAGAGGCCUCAGGGGUGGAACGUCCUUGACCUAUUCUCAAACUUUAAAUGGGUACGAGCCCCUGGUUGCUUAACUGAACCCGGCGGUCGAAUGACGGUUGCUAGUGGGCCAAUCUGGGUAAGCUAGAUUGGCGAUGCGGGAUGCUCCGAACGUUGAGUUAAAGUGCCAAAGUAUCCGCUAACCUAGAUCCCACAAAAGGUGUUGGUUCAUUAAGACAGCAGGACGGUGGCCAUGGAAGUCGGAACCCGCUAAGGAGUGU
Molecule: ribosomal RNA, 1136 nt
Filed under: Cornospumella fuschlensis
Lineage: Eukaryota; Synurophyceae; Ochromonadales; Ochromonadaceae
Description: eukaryotic LSU rRNA
Rfam family: Eukaryotic large subunit ribosomal RNA
Source: RNAcentral